Vicia villosa (hairy vetch) is the source of this 990-nucleotide long non-coding RNA. RefSeq lists it as uncharacterized. The record is from RefSeq and is a predicted model, not a curated record. NCBI's taxonomy places the organism in Eukaryota, Viridiplantae, Streptophyta, Magnoliopsida, Fabales, Fabaceae. The transcript is spliced from 3 exons.
CAAAGAUCUGCCCCUCUCUCUAAAAAAAACGGUCCUCACCCUUCAGACUCAGCUUUUUCGUCUUUCUCCCUCCUUUCUCGUUCUGUGUUUCGACGAACAACAACAAACAACACGACAUCCUCAAAUCUCUCUCGAUCUCAAUACUCUGCUCGCGUUUCUCUCUCGAUCGAUGGAGCUUUCGAAGCUCUCACAUCUCUCUCGGCUUCUCUUUUAAAUCUCGCUCACAUUUCACUCGGUUCCAAGAACAGAGCAAAAGUGCUCUCAACGCUUUCAUCGAUUCUCUGUUCAUCACUCUCGGUCUACUCACGGUCUCACAUUCGAUUGAAUCUCUCUCAGUCCUCUCGAUCACGCAAGCAAAACACAGAACCACACAAUCAAAACACACAAUAAACCUUAACCCCCAAAUUGAACCAAAGUCGACCUCGAUCUAGUAUUAUCAUUGCUUGUUUCGAAGAGCAGAAAAAGGAAAUCAACGAAAAAUUCGGAUUUUUUCCAUCAAUGAAGCCGACUCAACUCGGUUCUUAACUGAAAAUCUUCAUCGGUUCUUGCUUUUAUUCAAGGGGAGAAUAGAAAGCUAAUAAAGAGCAAGACAAUAUCAGUAACUUUAACAAAUCAACAGCACAACAUCACCUCAGCACCAUGGGAUUUCAGCUGAAAAAAGCUUUUCCCUUUUGUGCUUUUCAUUGGUGAAUCGGUUAAGUUCAAAUAUGGCAUCAGAUGGACACAAAAUACAUCGGCAGAAGCACAUAAAAGUGGCAAUCAGUUUGUGUAGGUUCUAUGCAACAUGAAACAAGGCCUUUGGGAGUAAGCAUGAAGGAUGUUUGAAGAAUGUUAAGGCAUGGAAAUUUCGAGGACUAAGAUUAAAUUAGCAUGAAUUCUCUUGUAAUCCCUUUGUUAUAACACUUCAAAAAAAAAUGAAACACUUUAAUAUCUUGUAACUAUGAAUUUUACUUGGUGACAUCUUUGAAUGCAACUUAAAAAUUUGAGUAA